RNAcentral lists this transfer RNA (106 nucleotides) under Aureobasidium namibiae CBS 147.97. It matches the Rfam family "tRNA". From Rfam's summary of the family: Transfer RNA (tRNA) molecules are approximately 80 nucleotides in length. Their secondary structure includes four short double-helical elements and three loops (D, anti-codon, and T loops). Further hydrogen bonds mediate the characteristic L-shaped molecular structure. tRNAs have two regions of fundamental functional importance: the anti-codon, which is responsible for specific mRNA codon recognition, and the 3' end, to which the tRNAs corresponding amino acid is attached (by aminoacyl-tRNA synthetases). tRNAs cope with the degeneracy of the genetic code in two manners: having more than one tRNA (with a specific anti-codon) for a particular amino acid; and 'wobble' base-pairing, i.e. permitting non-standard base-pairing at the 3rd anti-codon position. The record is from Rfam by way of RNAcentral. Lineage: Eukaryota; Fungi; Ascomycota; Dothideomycetes; Dothideales; Saccotheciaceae.
GGCGCUCUGGCCGAGUGGUUAAGGCGUUUGACUCGAAUGAUCUCUACUCUACAUCUUCAGCUAUCAAAUCCUUUCGGGGGCAAGAGUUCGAAUCUCUUGGGCGUCG